UACGUAGGGGGCGAGCGUUGUCCGGAUUUACUGGGCGUAAAGCGCGUGUAGGCGGCUGCUUUAGUCGGGUGUGAAAGCCCGGGGCUCAACCCCGGGAUGCCGCCCGAGACUGGGCGGCUUGAGGUCGGAAGAGGGGAGUGGAAUUCCAGGUGUAGCGGUGAAAUGCGUAGAGAUCUGGAGGAACACCCGUGGCGAAGGCGGCUCCCUGGUCCGAUUCUGACGCUGAGACGCGAAAGCGCGGGGAGCGAACGGG
This 253-nucleotide ribosomal RNA is filed under the name uncultured bacterium. RNAcentral describes it as "partial 16S ribosomal RNA". It matches the Rfam family "Bacterial small subunit ribosomal RNA", at positions 524 to 776 of the family's 1533-position model. The record is from RNAcentral.